AGGACGAACGCUGGCGGCGUGCUUAACACAUGCAAGUCGAGCGGAAAGGCCCUUCGGGGUACUCGAGCGGCGAACGGGUGAGUAACACGUGAGUAAUCUGCCCCUAGCUCUGGGAUAGCUCCGGGAAAACCGGGAUUAAUACCAGAUACGACCACUUUAGACAUCUGCUGUGGUGGAAAGAAUUUCGGCUAGGGAUGAGCUCGCGGCCUAUCAGCUUGUUGGUGAGGUAACGGCUCACCAAGGCGACGACGGGUAGCCGGCCUGAGAGGGCGACCGGCCACACUGGGACUGAGACACGGCCCAGACUCCUACGGGAGGCAGCAGUGGGGAAUAUUGCGCAAUGGGCGAAAGCCUGACGCAGCGACGCCGCGUGGGGGAUGAAGGCCUUCGGGUUGUAAACCCCUUUCAGCAGGGACGAAGCGAAAGUGACGGUACUGCAGAAGAAGCGCCGGCUAACUACGCGCCAGCAGCCGCGGUAA
This 479-nucleotide ribosomal RNA is filed under the name uncultured bacterium. RNAcentral describes it as "SSU rRNA". It matches the Rfam family "Bacterial small subunit ribosomal RNA", at positions 26 to 523 of the family's 1533-position model. The record is from RNAcentral.